GAUGAAGAACGUAGUGAAAUGCGAUAUGUAAUGUGAAUUGCAGAAUUCAGUGAAUCAUCGAAUCUUUGAACGCACAUGGCGCCUUCCAGUAUCCUGGGAGGCAUGCCUGUCCGAGCGUCGUUUCAACCCUCGAGCCCCCGUGGCCCGGCGUUGGGGAUCUGCCCAGGCAGUCCCCGAAAACCAGUGGCGGACCCGUUACAGGCCCUUCCCUUGCGUAGUAGCAUUCGCCUCGCAUCGGGAGCCGGCGGGCUUCCAGCCUCUAAACCCCCAUCAAGUCCGCCCCGGCGGCACCAAGGUUGACCUCGGAUCAGGUAGGAAUACCCGCUGAACUUAAGCAUAUCAAUAAGCGGAGGA
This 354-nucleotide unclassified non-coding RNA is filed under the name soil metagenome. RNAcentral's name for it is "partial contains 5.8S ribosomal RNA, internal transcribed spacer 2, and large subunit ribosomal RNA". The stretch from base 1 to 120 matches the Rfam family "5.8S ribosomal RNA", at positions 35 to 154 of the family's 154-position model. The record is from RNAcentral.